This 945-nucleotide ribosomal RNA is filed under the name Triticum aestivum (bread wheat). RNAcentral's name for it is "partial small subunit ribosomal RNA". Lineage: Eukaryota; Viridiplantae; Streptophyta; Magnoliopsida; Poales; Poaceae. The record is from RNAcentral.
AUGGGCGGCGGGGGCAGUGACGGCGACGGCUACAGCGACUGGGCGGUGCUGCCCUGCCCUCCCCGCCUUGCCGAUGUUAGUCUUGCUCUGGUCGGGAAAGUUGGUUCCGGCAAGAGCGCAACCGCAAAUUGCAUACUUGGAGACGACGCAUUUGAAUCGAAGGACUCUUAUAGAGCUGUCACUGAAACUUGUCAGAAGAGAAGCAGGGAGUUCCACGAUGGCUGUGCGACCCGUACCGUGAAUGUCAUAGACACUCCGGGCCUAUUCGACAUGGAUAGUACAGCUGAAGAUGUUCAGAAAGAGAUAGCCAAGUGCAUGGACAUGGCCAAAGAUGGCUUCGAUGCUAUGCUUAUGGUCUUUUCAGCUCAGUCUCGGUUUUCUUGUGAAGAUGAGAAGGCAAUUGAGUCAAUCAAACUGCUCUUUGGCAAUGAAGUCCUUGAUCACAUGAUAUUAGUUUUCACACAUGGAGAUGUAGUAGGGGGCGAAAGCCGUUGGAAGAAAAAGUUAACUGACAGUGCCCCAGCAUAUCUCCAGGACAUGGUGGACCUAUUUGCAGACAGAGUUGUUCUCUUUGACAAUAACACCAGUGAUAUGCAGCAGCGCGAGUAUCAGCUCAAAAAUUUGUUCCGUGCGGUGGAUUUUGUCAUAUCAAGAAAUCAUGGCAGACCGUUCUGCAACCAGAUGUUCACUCAGAUUAAGGAAAUGCAUCCAGUAUCCAUAUCAAAUAAAGAGAUAUAUGAUGACUACCUUAAACAGAUAAGCAAGAUGGUGGAGGAAAAGUUAAACAGUACAAUUGCAAGGCUGGAAACCCAGCUGCACGAAGAGCAGAAAGAAAGGCAAGCCGUAGAGAACAGCUUGAGAGAAGAGAUUCAUGCACUGAAGGAUAGCCUGAAGAAGGCUGAAGAAGAGGCCAACAAAUCUAGCAGCAAAUGCAUCAUUCUGUAA